Molecule: ribosomal RNA, 343 nt
Filed under: Vibrio parahaemolyticus
Lineage: Bacteria; Pseudomonadati; Pseudomonadota; Gammaproteobacteria; Vibrionales; Vibrionaceae
Description: bacterial SSU rRNA
Rfam family: Bacterial small subunit ribosomal RNA
Source: RNAcentral
CGGGGGCCCGCACAAGCGGUGGAGCAUGUGGUUUAAUUCGAUGCAACGCGAAGAACCUUACCUACUCUUGACAUCCAGAGAACUUUCCAGAGAUGGAUUGGUGCCUUCGGGAACUCUGAGACAGGUGCUGCAUGGCUGUCGUCAGCUCGUGUUGUGAAAUGUUGGGUUAAGUCCCGCAACGAGCGCAACCCUUAUCCUUGUUUGCCAGCGAGUAAUGUCGGGAACUCCAGGGAGACUGCCGGUGAUAAACCGGAGGAAGGUGGGGACGACGUCAAGUCAUCAUGGCCCUUACGAGUAGGGCUACACACGUGCUACAAUGGCGCAUACAGAGGGCAGCCAACUU